UCAGGAUGAACGCUAGCUACAGGCUUAACACAUGCAAGUCGAGGGGCAGCAUGAUCGAAGCUUGCUUGAUUGAUGGCGACCGGCGCACGGGUGAGUAACGCGUAUCCAACCUUCCCUAUAGUAGAGGAUAGCCCGGCGAAAGUCGGAUUAAUACUCUAUGUUUUCCAAUGCAGACAUCUAAAAUGGAACAAAGGUUUACCGCUAUAGGAUGGGGAUGCGUCUGAUUAGGUUGUUGGCGGGGUAACGGCCCACCAAGCCUACGAUCGGUAGGGGUUCUGAGAGGAAGGUCCCCCACAUUGGAACUGAGACACGGUCCAAACUCCUACGGGAGGCAGCAGUGAGGAAUAUUGGUCAAUGGGCGAGAGCCUGAACCAGCCAAGUAGCGUGCAAGGAUGACGGCCCUAUGGGUUGUAAACUGCUUUUAUACAGGGAUAAAUUGCGCCACGUGUGGCGUUUUGUAGGUACUGUAUGAAUAAGGACCGGCUAAUUCCGUGCCAGCAGCGGC
This 505-nucleotide ribosomal RNA is filed under the name uncultured bacterium. RNAcentral's name for it is "bacterial SSU rRNA". It matches the Rfam family "Bacterial small subunit ribosomal RNA", at positions 24 to 518 of the family's 1533-position model. The record is from RNAcentral.